GCCAACUAGACAUGGAGCCAUUGAUCACUACCCAUUGAGCCCGACAAUCUAGCCAGCUUUCUACCCACCUUAUAGUGCAUUCAUCCAGCCCAUACAAUCCCAGCCAAGCCCACAAUACUACAUAAACUUAAUACAAUAAAGUAUUUCAAGGAUAUUGCAAGAAAUGUCCAUGUCUGCCCAUUUUAUAGCUGAAUGAAAAUUAGGCAUAAAGAGGUGAAGAGUCAUAUUUUCAAAGGUGGAAUCUAAUUUUGAUUGCCUCCGUUUUAGAUACCGUGGGCCUGAUUUUUCAGGAGCUCCUGUUGCCUUCUUUGGAGUUGUAGGUACUCAAAGACUUAGAAAGUCACACCCUUGGCAUUAAAAGUUGGGCACCUGAAAUUACAGGGCAUUUUUGAAAAUGUGACCCGAUGUAAAUUGCCCACCGUUUCUGAUAAGGAAAUGGAAUUCAGAACUUACAACUAGUUUUCAGUGUCACUGAAUCACCUCCUACUCCCUGGUGUGUUCUGACUAAGUCAUAACCUCUCCUGGGUGUUAUUGUGGACUGCUGAAGAAAGACAUCUGCUCAGCUAUCAAUUACAGUCUGUUCAAGGACGUGAAUUAUUUGUAAAAAUGUAUUAAGGAGGAGAUAGAGAAUUAUACUGAAAAUAUUAGAGGACUUUUGUGAUACAGCCUCACUUUUAAUUCUGCACUAGGGUUUGGUCACCUACUUUAAAAAAAAAAGGAAUACAAGAAAUAAAACAAGAUCCAGAGGAACAAAAAAUAAUAGAAAUAUAUGGCAAUUUCCGUAUUAAGAGAUUAAAAGGACUAGGAGGAUUUGGUUUGAAAAGGGGAAGAUGAUUAAGAAAAGACAUGAUACUGCUAUAUUAAAAUUAGUUAAUGGUAUAGUUAAGUUUAUUGUGAAUUUAUUUGCUCAAGUUGGCAGUCAGUUUAACAUAUUUUUAAUGUUAACUUUAUGGAGGGUUUUACCUUGAGAUUGUAAAAGCUCUAUCUAGCAUAGUUGUGUAGAAUUAGAUAAUAUCAACUGUGACAAACUCACAAUAUCCUGUACAAAGCCUUAUGGAAUUAAGAUAAAUUUUACUGAGUGAAGUUAAAUUUUACUGAAUUAGCAUUAACAGCUGUGGGGUACAUUGUAUUAAAAUGUGACUGUGUAUGUGGUGGUGUGGCAUUGUAUAUACCUUCUCUGAUAGGGAGGGAGUUGUUACCUGCACAGAUUAGGGCACCCCACCUUUUCCCAGUCCGCAGGGCUCCAGGCAAAAAGCACCUACCCUUACCCAAUUCGUAGGGCUCAGGGUAUAACUAACCUGGUCAAUUUAAGUACCCACACCCUUUCCCAAUACAUAGGGCUCCGGGUGUAUACUACUUCUGCAGGUGUGCAGGACCUUUUACCAGUGAAAGAACCUUACACAGUAAUAUCUUUAUCCUCUAUUUAUUAGCAAUCACCAAAACCAGAAUGCACACAUUACACAUACAGUGCUCACAACUCUGCCUCUGCCACACAAUUUCUGGCUCUGCCACUGACCAUGUGUGUGACCUUGGGCAAAUCAUAUCACCACUCUGUGCCUCCAUUUCCCAUUCCACCAUUUCUUUGCCUCUAUCUAGAUUGUAAAUUCUCUAAGGUUGGGACGGUCCCUCACUGGGUAUAUGUACAGUGCCUACCAUAAUGGGUGUGGUCUCAAUUAGGGCCGGUGCAUGUUUGUGUCUCUGAUAUAAAGUCACUGACUUCAUGAGUGUAGACAGGCAGAAAUCAUGUAAGCCAUGUGUCUUGCAUUUUAAAUUUCCUAGAGCAAGUGUCCCUUCUUGUGACAGGCUGGAUUGCUCUGUGCAACUGCUCUCACCUCACUAGUGAUCAUACUGAAAUGAGAGCAAGCCCUGGUAUACUAGAUAGUGUGUGUGUGUAACCAGUCUGUAUUCCAAACCUGGACUGCAAAAAAUAUAGGCCCUGAAUCUGAUCUCACUCAUUUAUUUUUAUUCCCACAGCAGCAGGAUUUCAUUCAGCAUUCAUGGGAUCAGCUAGCAAGAUUCACACAUUAAUUCUGUCUAUCUGCAAACUUCCCUGGGGAUCAGGGACAGCAGGAAGAACUUGGUCAUUUCUUUUUAAUCAAUCUACCAAUUGGUCCUACACUCAUCACUGAGACUUGGAAAG
This is a long non-coding RNA of Chelonia mydas (Green sea turtle), 2140 nucleotides long. RefSeq lists it as uncharacterized. The record is from RefSeq and is a predicted model, not a curated record. The transcript has 2 exons. Lineage: Eukaryota; Metazoa; Chordata; Testudines; Cheloniidae.